RNAcentral lists this non-coding RNA (24 nucleotides) under Daphnia pulex (common water flea). Its record names the gene dpu-miR-34. The record is from miRBase by way of RNAcentral. Lineage: Eukaryota; Metazoa; Arthropoda; Branchiopoda; Diplostraca; Daphniidae. RNAcentral also lists the same sequence under 18 other names.
UGGCAGUGUGGUUAGCUGGUUGUG